This 281-nucleotide ribosomal RNA is filed under the name uncultured Paenibacillus sp. RNAcentral's name for it is "partial 16S ribosomal RNA". It matches the Rfam family "Bacterial small subunit ribosomal RNA", at positions 34 to 309 of the family's 1533-position model. The record is from RNAcentral. Lineage: Bacteria; Bacillati; Bacillota; Bacilli; Caryophanales; Paenibacillaceae.
CGCUGGCGGCGUGCCUAAUACAUGCAAGUCGAGCGGAUCUUGUCCUUCGGGACAAGGUUAGCGGCGGACGGGUGAGUAACACGUAGGCAACCUGCCCUCAAGACUGGGAUAACCAACGGAAACAGAUGCUAAUACCGGAUAUGCGGUUUCUCCUCCUGGAGAGAUCGGGAAAGACGGAGCAAUCUGUCGCUUGGGGAUGGGCCUGCGGCGCAUUAGCUAGUUGGUGAGGUAACGGCUCACCAAGGCGACGAUGCGUAGCCGACCUGAGAGGGUGAUCGGCC